This is a non-coding RNA of Ricinus communis (castor bean), 107 nucleotides long. NCBI's taxonomy places the organism in Eukaryota, Viridiplantae, Streptophyta, Magnoliopsida, Malpighiales, Euphorbiaceae. The record is from Rfam.
AAACCAUGGUGUGGGCAACAUCUCAGCAAGUCCUUGUACCUCUCCCACCCAUUAUACAUGAUCUCAUCAUCAAACUGCACAAAAGAAGAAAUAUCGCUACAGAUCUU